This 468-nucleotide ribosomal RNA is filed under the name uncultured bacterium. RNAcentral describes it as "partial 16S ribosomal RNA". It matches the Rfam family "Bacterial small subunit ribosomal RNA", at positions 28 to 507 of the family's 1533-position model. The record is from RNAcentral.
GACGAACGCUGGCGGCGUGCUUAACACAUGCAGGUCGAACGGAAAGGCCCUGCUUUUGUGGGGUGCUCGAGUGGCGAACGGGUGAGUAACACGUGAGUAACCUGCCCUUGACUUUGGGAUAACUUCAGGAAACUGGGGCUAAUACCGGAUAGGAGCUCCUGCUGCAUGGUGGGGGUUGGAAAGUUUCGGCGGUUGGGGAUGGACUCGCGGCUUAUCAGCUUGUUGGUGGGGUAGUGGCUUACCAAGGCUUUGACGGGUAGCCGGCCUGAGAGGGUGACCGGCCACAUUGGGACUGAGAUACGGCCCAGACUCCUACGGGAGGCAGCAGUGGGGAAUAUUGCACAAUGGGCGGAAGCCUGAUGCAGCAACGCCGCGUGCGGGAUGACGGCCUUCGGGUUGUAAACCGCUUUCGCCUGUGACGAGGCGUGAGUGACGGUAAUGGGUAAAGAAGCACCGGCUAACUACGUG